This 73-nucleotide transfer RNA is filed under the name uncultured archaeon. Its description in RNAcentral is "tRNA-Thr". It matches the Rfam family "tRNA". Rfam says of the family: Transfer RNA (tRNA) molecules are approximately 80 nucleotides in length. Their secondary structure includes four short double-helical elements and three loops (D, anti-codon, and T loops). The record is from RNAcentral.
GCCACUGUAGCUCAGCUGGCAGAGCAGCUGACUUGUAAUCAGCAGGCCGGGGGAUCGAAACCCUCCAGUGGCU